RNAcentral lists this ribosomal RNA (480 nucleotides) under uncultured bacterium. RNAcentral's name for it is "bacterial SSU rRNA". It matches the Rfam family "Bacterial small subunit ribosomal RNA", at positions 30 to 507 of the family's 1533-position model. The record is from RNAcentral.
AUUGAACGCUGGCGGAAUGCUUUACACAUGCAAGUCGAACGGUAGAGGGGGCAACCCCUUGAGAGUGGCGAACGGGUGAGUAAUAUAUCGGAACGUGCCCAGUCGUGGGGGAUAACGUAGCGAAAGUUACGCUAAUACCGCAUACGAUCUAAGGAUGAAAGCGGGGGAUCGCAAGACCUCGCGCGAUUGGAGCGGCCGAUAUCAGAUUAGGUAGUUGGUGGGGUAAAGGCUCACCAAGCCAACGAUCUGUAGCUGGUCUGAGAGGAUGAUCAGCCACACUGGGACUGAGACACGGCCCAGACUCCUACGGGAGGCAGCAGUGGGGAAUUUUGGACAAUGGGCGCAAGCCUGAUCCAGCAAUGCCGCGUGCAGGAAGAAGGCCUUCGGGUUGUAAACUGCUUUUGUACGGAACGAAAAGGCUCUGGUUAAUACCUGGGGCUCAUGACGGUACCGUAAGAAUAAGCACCGGCUAACUACGUG